Small nucleolar RNA from Spea bombifrons (plains spadefoot toad), 80 nucleotides. RefSeq annotates it as small nucleolar RNA SNORD72. The record is from RefSeq and is a predicted model, not a curated record. The transcript has a single exon. Lineage: Eukaryota; Metazoa; Chordata; Amphibia; Anura; Pelobatidae.
CAUUUAUCAAUGAUGCUGGUAAUAAUAAAUGUCUGAACAUAUGACAUUUCAUGAUUUCGCUCUUUAAACUGAGGUAAAUG